RNAcentral lists this ribosomal RNA (497 nucleotides) under uncultured bacterium. RNAcentral's name for it is "partial 16S ribosomal RNA". It matches the Rfam family "Bacterial small subunit ribosomal RNA", at positions 28 to 507 of the family's 1533-position model. The record is from RNAcentral.
GAUGAACGCUGGCGGCGUGCCUAAUACAUGCAAGUCGAGCGAACGGACGAGAAGCUUGCUUCUCUGAUGUUAGCGGCGGACGGGUGAGUAACACGUGGAUAACCUACCUAUAAGACUGGGAUAACUUCGGGAAACCGGAGCUAAUACCGGGUAAUAUUUUGAACCGCAUGGUUCAAAAGUGAAAGACGGUCUUGCUGUCACUUAUAGAUGGAUCCGCGCUGCAUUAGCUAGUUGGUAAGGUAACGGCUUACCAAGGCAACGAUGCAUAGCCGACCUGAGAGGUUGAUCGGCCACACUGGAACUGAGACACGGUCCAGACUCCUACGGGAGGCAGCAGUAGGGAAUCUUCCGCAAUGGGCGAAAGCCUGACGGAGCAACGCCGCGUGAGUGAUGAAGGUCUUCGGAUCGUAAAACUCUGUUAUUAGGGAAGAACAUAUGUGUAAGUAACUGUGCACAUCUUGACGGUACCUAAUCAGAAAGCCACGGCUAACUACGUG